RNAcentral lists this ribosomal RNA (492 nucleotides) under uncultured bacterium. Its description in RNAcentral is "partial 16S ribosomal RNA". It matches the Rfam family "Bacterial small subunit ribosomal RNA", at positions 29 to 507 of the family's 1533-position model. The record is from RNAcentral.
AGUGAACGCUGGCGGUAGGCCUAACACAUGCAAGUCGAACGGCAGCACAGUAAGAGCUUGCUCUUACGGGUGGCGAGUGGCGGACGGGUGAGGAAUACAUCGGAAUCUACUUUUUCGUGGGGGAUAACGUAGGGAAACUUACGCUAAUACAGCAUACGACCUACGGGUGAAAGCAGGGGAUCUUCGGACCUUGCGCGAUUGAAUGAGCCGAUGUCGGAUUAGCUAGUUGGCGGGGUAAAGGCCCACCAAGGCGACGAUCCGUAGCUGGUCUGAGAGGAUGAUCAGCCACACUGGAACUGAGACACGGUCCAGACUCCUACGGGAGGCAGCAGUGGGGAAUAUUGGACAAUGGGCGCAAGCCUGAUCCAGCCAUACCGCGUGGGUGAAGAAGGCCUUCGGGUUGUAAAACCCUUUUGUUGGGAAAGAAAAGCAGCAGGUUAAUACCCCGCUGUUCUGACGGUACCCAAAGAAUAAGCACCGGCUAACUUCGUG